UUUAUCUCUUUCUUCUAAACAGGUAAUGUGGCACUUGAAAAUUUACAGAUAAAGGAGAAUGCAUUAAGUGAACUGGAUGUACCUUUUAGAGUAAAAGUUGGUCAGAUAGAUAAACUUACUCUGAAGAUUCCUUGGAAGAAUCUCUAUGGGGAGGCAGUUGUUGCAACUCUAGAAGGCUUGUAUCUUCUGAUAGUUCCUGGAGCAAGUA
This is a non-coding RNA of Cyanistes caeruleus (blue tit), 208 nucleotides long. The record is from RefSeq and is a predicted model, not a curated record. NCBI's taxonomy places the organism in Eukaryota, Metazoa, Chordata, Aves, Passeriformes, Paridae.